This 775-nucleotide ribosomal RNA is filed under the name uncultured Neocallimastigales. RNAcentral's name for it is "partial large subunit ribosomal RNA". It matches the Rfam family "Eukaryotic large subunit ribosomal RNA", at positions 22 to 637 of the family's 3401-position model. Lineage: Eukaryota; Fungi; Neocallimastigomycota; Neocallimastigomycetes; Neocallimastigales. The record is from RNAcentral.
GUACACGCUGUGACUAGCAUAUCAAUAAGCGGAGGAAAAGAAACUAACAAGGAUUCCCCUAGUAACGGCGAGUGAAGCGGGAAGAGCUCAAAUUUGAAAUCUUAAAGGGUUUCCCUUUACGAAUUGUAGUUUAAAGAAGUGUUUUCUGUUGAGGUUUUGGUAAAAGUUCUUUGGAAUAGGACAUCAUAGAGGGUGAGAAUCCCGUAUUUGACCUUUACUUUCAACUUUGUGAUACACUUUCAAAGAGUCGGAUUGUUUGGGAAUGCAGUCCAAAAUGGGUGGUAAAGUUUCAUCUAAAGCUAAAUAUUGGCGAGAGACCGAUAGCGAACAAGUACCGUGAGGGAAAGAUGAAAAGAACUUUGAAAAGAGAGUUAAACAGUACGUGAAAUUGUCAAAAGGGAAGCGUUUGACACCAGUGUUGUUUUUCUGAAAAUCAAUUAAAGAACUGUUUAUGCUAAGUUGUUUAGACUUUAUCAGCUAACUGUUUAGUUUUGAGCUUUUCUUUAAUGCACUUUUCAGUUAACAAGUCAACAUCAAUUUCUUUUGCUGUAAAAAAGCUUGAGGAAGGUGGCUUGAGAUUCGUCUUAAGUGUUUAUAGCCUCUUGCCUAUGCAGUCGGAGAGAUUGAGGUCUGCAGCGUAGAUCCUUCGGGGCUAAAUGCAUUUGUGCUAAGUUAUAGCAUUUUAUAGACAACUUGUUGACUAUGAUUUGUCUUGUAGCUUACUCGCUUAUGUUAUUUUACCUACGCUUAGGAUGUUGACAGCAGUAUAGACUGU